This 72-nucleotide transfer RNA is filed under the name Ictidomys tridecemlineatus (thirteen-lined ground squirrel). RNAcentral describes it as "Spermophilus tridecemlineatus (thirteen-lined ground squirrel) tRNA". It matches the Rfam family "tRNA". From Rfam's summary of the family: Transfer RNA (tRNA) molecules are approximately 80 nucleotides in length. Their secondary structure includes four short double-helical elements and three loops (D, anti-codon, and T loops). Lineage: Eukaryota; Metazoa; Chordata; Mammalia; Rodentia; Sciuridae. The record is from Rfam by way of RNAcentral.
GGGAAUGUAGCUCAGUGGUAGAGUGCUUCUCUAGCAAGUUUGAGGCCCUGGGUUCAAUCCCCAGCACUGCUC